UACGUAGGGUGCAAGCGUUGUCCGGAAUUAUUGGGCGUAAAGCGCGUGUAGGCGGCUUGUUAAGUCGGGUGUGAAAGCCCUCAGCUCAACUGAGGAAGUGCGCCCGAAACUGGCGAGCUUGAGUGUCGGAGAGGAUGGCGGAAUACCCCAAGUAGAGGUGAAAUUCGUAGAUAUGGGGUGGAACACCGGUGGCGAAGGCGGCCAUCUGGACGACAACUGACGCUGAGACGCGAAAGCGUGGGGAGCAAACAGG
RNAcentral lists this ribosomal RNA (253 nucleotides) under uncultured bacterium. Its description in RNAcentral is "partial 16S ribosomal RNA". It matches the Rfam family "Bacterial small subunit ribosomal RNA", at positions 524 to 776 of the family's 1533-position model. The record is from RNAcentral.